RNAcentral lists this ribosomal RNA (435 nucleotides) under uncultured bacterium. RNAcentral's name for it is "partial 16S ribosomal RNA". It matches the Rfam family "Bacterial small subunit ribosomal RNA", at positions 29 to 507 of the family's 1533-position model. The record is from RNAcentral.
AGCGAACGCUGGCGGCAGGCUUAACACAUGCAAGUCGAGCGGGCACUUUCGGGUGUCAGCGGCGGACGGGUGAGUAACGCGUGGGAACGUGCCCUCGGGUUCGGAAUAACUCAGGGAAACUUGAGCUAAUACCGGAUACGCCCUUUUGGGGAAAGGCUUGCUGCCGGAGGAUCGGCCCGCGUCUGAUUAGCUAGUUGGUGAGGUAACGGCUCACCAAGGCGACGAUCAGUAGCUGGUCUGAGAGGAUGAUCAGCCACACUGGGACUGAGACACGGCCCAGACUCCUACGGGAGGCAGCAGUGGGGAAUAUUGGACAAUGGGCGCAAGCCUGAUCCAGCCAUGCCGCGUGAGUGAUGAAGGCCUUAGGGUUGUAAAGCUCUUUUAUCCGGGACGAUAAUGACGGUACCGGAGGAAUAAGCCCCGGCUAACUUCGUG